CUGAUUUUAAGUUUUGUUUCCAGGUUGCUUCAGAAUAUGAUUGUUACUUACCUUAUGUGUUAGGGUAUUUAGGGAUGGUAUAAAUACUAGUUUUUAAUAAGGUUUAGGGGGACUUUUUUGACUGGAAUUCAGUGAGAGCUACUCUUGGAGAUUUGGAGAUCAAAUUGAAGAUACAACGAGACAUAUAUUGAAGAACAAAGAUUGGAC
Molecule: long non-coding RNA, 207 nt
Filed under: Panax ginseng (ginseng)
Lineage: Eukaryota; Viridiplantae; Streptophyta; Magnoliopsida; Apiales; Araliaceae
Description: long non-coding RNA (PGIN_LNC009091)
Source: RNAcentral